UUUCGGUCAACAUCAGAAGGAGAUUGGGGAUGAUCAACUGGGAAGGGGGAGGCGUCGUCGGUUCAGUUCAGGUUGUUGCCGCUGUUGCCUACUCCGACUCUCAUCGAUCUGUUGCAUAUGGUUUGUUUCAGACGACACGCGUUGUCAGCUCGAUCUGUUUCAGAUGCGGAAAUUAGGUGCAGCGGCAACCAGAGAACCAACCGCUUGUGUUGUGACAGGGAAAUGGCCAAACGCAUCGGAGCCAAGCCUUAUCUUGUCGCUACUUCUUCACCACCUCCAUCCACCCUUGUUGCGGAUAGUCAUAAACAACGCAAGCCUCCACUCACCUUUUUUUGCUGGAUUUCAGCCUUUUUUUCUGUUUUUUUUUAAAUUGUAUUACUACUGCUGAAGCAGAUUUCAGUGCUUAUAUGAUGAUAUGAUAUGACGCCGACGCGUCAACCAAAAAUCAAUGGAGGAGACUGAGUACCAGGAACUUUUGUUGGAAAAAAAGAAAAGAAAAGACGACCGGGAAU
RNAcentral lists this long non-coding RNA (512 nucleotides) under Sorghum bicolor (sorghum). Its description in RNAcentral is "long non-coding RNA (SBIC_LNC003558)". Lineage: Eukaryota; Viridiplantae; Streptophyta; Magnoliopsida; Poales; Poaceae. The record is from RNAcentral.